GGGGCUAUUCAGUUCGCGAGAACAGAAGGGAUAAUACCUGCGCCAGAACCGACUCAUGCCAUUGCUGCAACCAUAAGAGAAGCUCUCCGAUGCAAAGAAACAGGAGAAGCAAAAGUGAUACUAAUGGCGAUGUGUGGACAUGGCCACUUUGACCUUACUUCUUACGACAAGUAUUUAAGAGGCGAAUUGAUAGAUUUAUCAUUUAGCGAAGAGAGGAUUCGAGAGUCUUUGUCUAAGGUUCCUCAUGUUGUUUAGCUCCAAAUUAUGCCCCAUGUUCCGAAACAGACGUGAAAUAAGUUGGGCCAAUUUCAUGGCCUUUCGAAUAAAGAGGAAACAUGAAUUUAAAUAAUGAACACAAUGUCUUUUCUUUUCUUUUUCAUCACCGGACAGACCACAAAUUACCACACACUUUUAAGAUGAUGAUUGUCCAAUAUACCUUUGAAUCACUACACUUUUGAUGAAGAUUUUGGAGCAACCAUGGCUUGUUUUCAGGCUGGUCUUAAUAGAGACAUUCAAGAUCGUCUAGAAAUGCAGAAUUAUGAUGACAUGGAUGAAUUGCUACACAAAAAUAUCCUUAUUGAUCAGCAGAAUGAAAGAAAAAUGUUUCCUCGAAACCCAUACGUUCAUCCUCUAAGCCAUCCUACGCAAAAGAAGAAAAUAACUUUGCCAAACCGAAAGAAGAACCAAAAACUUACGGAGUUGGCAGAGAUAAAAAAGGCUAGGACCAGUGAAUCGGUCUAGAGAUAUGAAGUGUUUUGAGUGUCACGGAAUUUGCCACUAUGCCAAUGAAUGUUCGAACAAGAAGGUGAUGAUCUUACUUCAAGUAUGAAGGUGGUAGCCCAGCUGGUUCACACAAACCAAACUCAGCAGUUCCACAAGCUUAUUACAAUGCUAAAGAAGGUGUCAAGAACCUUGUAACGGAAACCGGUGCUGGCCAAUGGGGCAGUUCUUUAGCCUUUGCUUCUAGUCUAUUUGGACUUAAUUGUGAAGUUAGAAAAAUAUUUGAUUCUUGCCGUGAUAUCUUGAAAAUUUAGUCCUUCUUGUUAAGUACUUGUUUCUUUUACGCUAUAGGUGUGGCAAGUGGCCAAUUCAUACCAUCAAAAGCCAUAUCGCAGGCUAAUGAUGCAAACUUGGGGGGCAAAGGUUCAUCCGUCACCAUCGGAUCUCACUGAAGCAGGUAGAAGAAUCCUUCAGGUCGAUCCAUCAAGCCCGGGAAGUUUAGGCAUUGCAAUAUCAGAAGCUGUUGAAGUGGCAGCAAGAAACGAGGAUACAAAAUACUGCUUAGGGAGUGUAUUGAACCAUGUGUUGUUACACCAGACGGUUAUUGGAGAAGAAUGCAUAAAGCAGAUGGAAGAUUUUGGCGAAACGCCUGAUGUGAUCAUAGGAUGUACUGGUGGAGGAUCAAAUUUUGCUGGUUUGAGUUUUCCGUAUAUCCGGGAGAAACUCAAAGGCAAAAUCAACCCUGUUAUAAGAGCUGUUGAGCCCUCAGCUUGUCCUUCCUUGACCAAAGGAGUUUAUGCUUAUGAUUUUGGCGAUACUGCUGGAUUGACUCCUUUGAUGAAGAUGCAUACUUUAGGGCAUGACUUCAUUCCUGAUCCUAUCCAUUCUGGUAACAAAUAAACCUUAAAAUCCAAAAUCUUAGACAUACUGAAGUGGAAGGCUUCUCCAGCUCACUGAUUCUUGAUUUCUUGAAUUCUUGAUUCUUGGUCUUACUUUCGGCUAAUUUGUUAUCUAUGGUUUUUAACAGGUGGAUUACGGUACCAUGGGAUGGCCCCAUUGAUCUCACAUGUUUAUGAACAAGGUUUCAUGGAAGCAAUCUCAAUUCCUCAAACUGAGUGUUUCCAAGGUAGUUCUUAGUCUAACCACAAUUUCUCAAUUUAGGUUUACUAACUUACUCCCUUUUAUAUUUUGCAAUGAAAUGUAAAUCCCAACUUUACCGUUGAAUUUUCUUGCAGGGGCUAUUCAGUUCGCGAGAACAGAAGGGAUAAUACCUGCGCCAGAACCGACUCAUGCCAUUGCUGCAACCAUAAGAGAAGCUCUCCGAUGCAAAGAAACAGGAGAAGCAAAAGUGAUACUAAUGGCGAUGUGUGGACAUGGCCACUUUGACCUUACUUCUUACGACAAGUAUUUAAGAGGCGAAUUGAUAGAUUUAUCAUUUAGCGAAGAGAGGAUUCGAGAGUCUUUGUCUAAGGUUCCUCAUGUUGUUUAGCUCCAAAUUAUGCCCCAUGUUCCGAAACAGAC
RNAcentral lists this long non-coding RNA (2241 nucleotides) under Brassica napus (rape). RNAcentral's name for it is "long non-coding RNA (BNAP_LNC016061)". The record is from RNAcentral. Lineage: Eukaryota; Viridiplantae; Streptophyta; Magnoliopsida; Brassicales; Brassicaceae.